Molecule: ribosomal RNA, 741 nt
Filed under: Entoloma tjallingiorum var. tjallingiorum
Lineage: Eukaryota; Fungi; Basidiomycota; Agaricomycetes; Agaricales; Entolomataceae
Description: eukaryotic LSU rRNA
Rfam family: Eukaryotic large subunit ribosomal RNA
Source: RNAcentral
UUCCCCUAGUAACUGCGAGUGAAGCGGGAAAAGCUCAAAUUUAAAAUCUGGUAGUCUUUGACUGCCCGAGUUGUAAUCUAGAGAAGCAUUAUCCGCGCUGGACCGUGUAUAAGUCUCCUGGAAUGGAGCGUCAUAGAGGGUGAGAAUCCCGUCUUUGAUACGGACUACCAGGGCUUUGUGAUAUGCUCUCAAAGAGUCGAGUUGUUUGGGAAUGCAGCUCUAAAUGGGUGGUAAAUUCCAUCUAAAGCUAAAUAUUGGCGAGAGACCGAUAGCGAACAAGUACCGUGAGGGAAAGAUGAAAAGAACUUUGGAAAGAGAGUUAAACAGUACGUGAAAUUGUUGAAAGGGAAACGCUUGAAGUCAGUCGCGUUGUCCAGGGAUCAACCUUGCUUUUGCUUGGUGUAUUUCCUGGUUUUAACGGGUCAGCAUCAAUUUUGAUCAGUGGAAAAAGAUCAAAGGAAUGUGGCAUCUUCGGAUGUGUUAUAGCCUUUGGUUGUAUACAUUGGUUGGGAUUGAGGAACUCAGCACGCCGCAAGGCCGGGUUUUUAACCACGUUCGUGCUUAGGAUGCUGGCAUAAUGGCUUUAAUCGACCCGUCUUGAAACACGGACCAAGGAGUCUAACAUACCUGCGAGUGUUUGGGUGGAAAAUCCAAGCGCGUAAUGAAAGUGAAAGUUGGGAUCUCUGUCGUGGGGAGCACCGACGCCCGGACCAGACCUUCUGUGACGGAUCCGCGGUAGAG